RNAcentral lists this unclassified non-coding RNA (88 nucleotides) under Pseudomonas synxantha. The record is from RNAcentral. Lineage: Bacteria; Pseudomonadati; Pseudomonadota; Gammaproteobacteria; Pseudomonadales; Pseudomonadaceae.
GAUAAGAGAGGGCUUGCUCCCGUUAGCGGAGGUUCAGUCAAUAUCUUCAUGACUGACACACUGCAUCGGGAGCAAGCCCCCUCCCACA